UACGUAGGAUGCAAGCGUUGUCCGGAAUUAUUGGGCGUAAAGAGCGCGCAGGCGGUAUGACAAGUCAGAUGUGAAAGAGGCCGGCUUAACCGGCAAGGGUCAUUUGAAACUGUCAGACUAGAGUGCAGCAGAGGAUAGUGGAAUUCCCGGUGUAGUGGUGAAAUGCGUAGAUAUCGGGAGGAACACCAGUGGCGAAGGCGACUAUCUGGGCUGCAACUGACGCUGAGGCGCGAAGGCUAGGGUAGCAAACGG
Molecule: ribosomal RNA, 252 nt
Filed under: uncultured bacterium
Lineage: Bacteria
Description: partial 16S ribosomal RNA
Rfam family: Bacterial small subunit ribosomal RNA
Source: RNAcentral